Molecule: ribosomal RNA, 279 nt
Filed under: Usazoros hubbardi
Lineage: Eukaryota; Metazoa; Arthropoda; Insecta; Zoraptera; Zorotypidae
Description: partial 12S ribosomal RNA
Source: RNAcentral
UAAACUGAANGAAUUUGGCGGUGUAAAAUUUUACUGGAGGAAUAUGUUCUAUAAUUGAAAUUACACAUUAAACCUUACUUAUUUACCAAGUUUAUAUACCGCUGUUGGUAAUUUAAUUUGGAGAUUGGUGUYYAAAUUCAUAUUGGUGUAUMAAGAUUCAAGUCCAGGUUUAGCCUAUARRUAAGUAGAAAUGUAUUACAUUUAAUUAAGUWAUUACGGAUUUUUAUUUUAACAUGUAGGAUGAAGGUGGAUUCAGUAGUAAGUAUAUUGWAUUGUAUA